CAGCCUUGGGUUCCUGAUGCUGCCAUGGGCGCCAGGCUCCUCUGCUGGGUGACUCUCUGCCUCCUGGGAGCAGGCCUGGUGGAUUCUGGAGUCACCCAGACCCCCAAGUACCUGAUCAAAUCAAGAAAGCAGCAAGCGACUCUGAUGUGUUCCCCUGACUCUGGACACCGCUCCGUGAACUGGUACCAACAGGCCCGGGGCCAGGGCCCCCGGUUCCUUGUUCAGUAUUACCGUGGACAAACUAAUAGAGAAGAAAACCUGCCAGAUCGAUUCUCAGGAGAACAGUUCAGUGAUUUUCGCUCGGAGCUGAACCUGAGCUCCUUGGAGCUGACGGACUCCGCCCUGUAUCUCUGUGCCAGCAGCCAAGACACAGCCCUGCGUGAUCAGGUGCAAAGGUCAUCCACGGUGCAGAGCACCCAUCUACUCUCCUCAAAGAAAGGUGGGUUACAGGUGCACUGCUGCCCCCAUUCAGACACGGCAGCCUGUGCUCUGGUGAACAUGAAGGAUCUGUAG
This is a non-coding RNA of Dama dama (fallow deer), 513 nucleotides long. NCBI's taxonomy places the organism in Eukaryota, Metazoa, Chordata, Mammalia, Artiodactyla, Cervidae. The record is from the annotation of a RefSeq genome assembly.